UGCGUAGGCGGAUUAAUAAGUCAGUGGUGAAAACCUGCAGCUUAACUGCAGACCUGCCAUUGAUACUGUUAGUCUUGAGUACGGUCAAGGUAGGCGGAAUGUGUAAUGUAGCGGUGAAAUGCUUAGAUAUUACACAGAACACCGAUUGCGAAGGCAGCUUACUGGGCCAUUGCUGACGCUGAGGCACGAAAGCGUGGGGAGCGAACAGGAUUAGAUACCCUGGUAGUCC
Molecule: ribosomal RNA, 229 nt
Filed under: uncultured bacterium
Lineage: Bacteria
Description: partial 16S ribosomal RNA
Rfam family: Bacterial small subunit ribosomal RNA
Source: RNAcentral